GAUGACAGACCAUCCUCUGAUCCUUUAGCGACUACUCCUGCAGAGACGAUUUGUAAGAACUGAUGGUAACAAAUGCAUGUGCAAAGCUUUGAAGAUUUUAUUGCCAUGAGAAUGAUAAGAGUAUGGUCAAAGAGUUUCUUUUCCUCUCAGGUGUAUGGUGAGUGCUUCAUCCUCGAAGAGCUGAGUGGACUUCGGUUCUUCUUAAUCCUGACGCUUCUCAAGUUUGGUAAUGGUGGCAAGGAAAGUAUCUAUCUUACUUGCUUAACCAACAUGGACGGGGAAAACGCAGAGAAUUUGUACUGACCCGAGUAAAUAAGUCCGAACAAGAAGACGAUGACAUCGACACCCAUAUCUUUUAAUGUCUUCCUCCGAUCUUUCUUCACCUUCUCUUUUCCUGCUUCUCUGUUUCAG
RNAcentral lists this long non-coding RNA (411 nucleotides) under Musa acuminata (dwarf banana). RNAcentral's name for it is "long non-coding RNA (MACU_LNC001898)". Lineage: Eukaryota; Viridiplantae; Streptophyta; Magnoliopsida; Zingiberales; Musaceae. The record is from RNAcentral.